CACUUCCAGACAUGAAGAAAAGAUCUAAAGAUUCCUGUCAAAAAGUCCACCAACAGAAUCCAGACAAUAAGCUGGUAUCAGCAAAGACCUCCAUCAGAACCGGUCAUCCUCUGCUGCCCCUCAGCUCCAUGGUUCCAGAAAGCUUCUAUGCUCCAAGCCAGUCUGAUUUUUCUACGCUUUUAUCCCCCAUGGCUUCUCCUGGAGAGCUGAAGGACCUGACCGCGGCCAUAUUCCAGG
Molecule: long non-coding RNA, 237 nt
Organism: Cyprinodon tularosa
Lineage: Eukaryota; Metazoa; Chordata; Actinopteri; Cyprinodontiformes; Cyprinodontidae
Exons: 3
Source: RefSeq, a predicted model, not a curated record